GAUGAACGCUGGCGGCGUGCCUAAUACAUGCAAGUCGAGCGAACAGAUGAGGAGCUUGCUCCUCUGACGUUAGCGGCGGACGGGUGAGUAACACGUGGAUAACCUACCUAUAAGACUGGGAUAACUUCGGGAAACCGGAUCUAAUACCGGAUAAUAUAUUGAACCGCAUGGUUCAAUAGUGAAAGACGGUUUUGCUGUCACUUAUAGAUGGAUCCGCGCCGCAUUAGCUAGUUGGUAAGGUAACGGCUUACCAAGGCAACGAUGCGUAGCCGACCUGAGAGGGUGAUCGGCCACACUGGAACUGAGACACGGUCCAGACUCCUACGGGAGGCAGCAGUAGGGAAUCUUCCGCAAUGGGCGAAAGCCUGACGGAGCAACGCCGCGUGAGUGAUGAAGGUCUUCGGAUCGUAAAACUCUGUUAUUAGGGAAGAACAAAUGUGUAAGUAACUAUGCACGUCUUGACGGUACCUAAGCAGAAAGCCACGGCUAACUACGU
Molecule: ribosomal RNA, 496 nt
Filed under: uncultured bacterium
Lineage: Bacteria
Description: partial 16S ribosomal RNA
Rfam family: Bacterial small subunit ribosomal RNA
Source: RNAcentral